This 761-nucleotide ribosomal RNA is filed under the name Pseudomonas sp. PR42. Its description in RNAcentral is "bacterial SSU rRNA". It matches the Rfam family "Bacterial small subunit ribosomal RNA", at positions 56 to 813 of the family's 1533-position model. The record is from RNAcentral. Lineage: Bacteria; Pseudomonadati; Pseudomonadota; Gammaproteobacteria; Pseudomonadales; Pseudomonadaceae.
UGCAGUCGAGCGGUAGAGAGGAGCUUGCUUCUCUUGAGAGCGGCGGACGGGUGAGUAAUGCCUAGGAAUCUGCCUAGUGGUGGGGGAUAACGUUCGGAAACGGACGCUAAUACCGCAUACGUCCUACGGGAGAAAGCGGGGGAUCUUCGGACCUCGCGCCAUUAGAUGAGCCUAGGUCGGAUUAGCUAGUUGGUGAGGUAAUGGCUCACCAAGGCGACGAUCCGUAACUGGUCUGAGAGGAUGAUCAGUCACACUGGAACUGAGACACGGUCCAGACUCCUACGGGAGGCAGCAGUGGGGAAUAUUGGACAAUGGGCGAAAGCCUGAUCCAGCCAUGCCGCGUGUGUGAAGAAGGUCUUCGGAUUGUAAAGCACUUUAAGUUGGGAGGAAGGGUUGUAGAUUAAUACUCUGCAAUUUUGACGUUACCGACAGAAUAAGCACCGGCUAACUUCGUGCCAGCAGCCGCGGUAAUACGAAGGGUGCAAGCGUUAAUCGGAAUUACUGGGCGUAAAGCGCGCGUAGGUGGUUCGUUAAGUUGGAUGUGAAAGCCCCGGGCUCAACCUGGGAACUGCAUCCAAAACUGGCGAGCUAGAGUACGGUAGAGGGUAGUGGAAUUUCCUGUGUAGCGGUGAAAUGCGUAGAUAUAGGAAGGAACACCAGUGGCGAAGGCGACUACCUGGACUGAUACUGACACUGAGGUGCGAAAGCGUGGGGAGCAAACAGGAUUAGAUACCCUGGUAGUCCACGCCGUAAACGAUGUC